GCCGCCGCGGUAAUACGUAGGUGGCAAGCGUUGUCCGGAUUUACUGGGUGUAAAGGGAGCGCAGGCGGGAGAGCAAGUCAGCUGUGAAAACUAUGGGCUUAACCCAUAGACUGCAGUUGAAACUGUUCUUCUUGAGUGGAGUAGAGGUAAGCGGAAUUCCGAGUGUAGCGGUGAAAUGCGUAGAGAUUCGGAGGAACACCAGUGGCGAAGGCGGCUUACUGGGCUCUAACUGACGCUGAGGCUCGAAAGUGUGGGGAGCAAACAGGAUUAGAUACCCC
RNAcentral lists this ribosomal RNA (278 nucleotides) under uncultured bacterium. RNAcentral describes it as "partial 16S ribosomal RNA". It matches the Rfam family "Bacterial small subunit ribosomal RNA", at positions 511 to 788 of the family's 1533-position model. The record is from RNAcentral.